CGGCGGACGGGUGAGUAAUGCCUAGGAAUCUGCCUGGUAGUGGGGGACAACGUUUCGAAAGGAACGCUAAUACCGCAUACGUCCUACGGGAGAAAGCAGGGGACCUUCGGGCCUUGCGCUAUCAGAUGAGCCUAGGUCGGAUUAGCUAGUUGGUGGGGUAAUGGCUCACCAAGGCGACGAUCCGUAACUGGUCUGAGAGGAUGAUCAGUCACACUGGAACUGAGACACGGUCCAGACUCCUACGGGAGGCAGCAGCC
This 257-nucleotide ribosomal RNA is filed under the name uncultured Pseudomonas sp. RNAcentral's name for it is "partial 16S ribosomal RNA". It matches the Rfam family "Bacterial small subunit ribosomal RNA", at positions 96 to 355 of the family's 1533-position model. Lineage: Bacteria; Pseudomonadati; Pseudomonadota; Gammaproteobacteria; Pseudomonadales; Pseudomonadaceae. The record is from RNAcentral.